ACGGAAGGCAGCAGUGGGGGAUAUUGCACAAUGGGGGAAACCCUGAUGCAGCGACGCCGCGUGAGUGAAGAAGUAUUUCGGUAUGUAAAGCUCUAUCAGCAAGGAAGAAAAUGACGGUACUUGACUAAGAAGCUCCGGCUAAAUACGUGCCAGCAGCCGCGGUAAUACGUAUGGAGCAAGCGUUAUCCGGAUUUACUGGGUGUAAAGGGAGCGUAGACGGCAAAGCAAGUCUGAAGUGAAAUCCCGGGGCUCAACCCCGGAACUGCUUUGGAAACUGUUUAGCUAGAGUGCAGGAGAGGUAAGCGGAAUUCCUAGUGUAGCGGUGAAAUGCGUAGAUAUUAGGAGGAACACCAGUGGCGAAGGCGGCUUACUGGACUGUAACUGACGUUGAGGCUCGAAAGCGUGGGGAGCAAACAGGAUUAGAUACCCUGGUA
This 434-nucleotide ribosomal RNA is filed under the name uncultured Lachnospiraceae bacterium. RNAcentral describes it as "partial 16S ribosomal RNA". It matches the Rfam family "Bacterial small subunit ribosomal RNA", at positions 341 to 792 of the family's 1533-position model. Lineage: Bacteria; Bacillati; Bacillota; Clostridia; Lachnospirales; Lachnospiraceae. The record is from RNAcentral.